GCCAGCAGGUGGCAGCAUGUCACUGUUAAUAAGUGAGUCACUGCGACUGAACCGAAUCAUUUAAACGGGUGAUUCAUUUAGGAACGAAACACCGUCAAGUUGCUCAAAGACGCAAAACAGCUUGGUGGCUUUGUUUGGAAUUAUUUUUGUUGGCGAAGUAGAGCAAAAACAGGCGAUAUGGUGUCUAAAACAUCACAUGAAAUAUGUCCUGUCCUCUGCUGGUGUGCAUUAAGGACUGUUGUCCCAGUUCCAUUUUAAUGGGACAGACAUGAGUGACGAAUGGAGAACAGCCGUCUGAGUGCUUUAAACACUAAUGCAAUGCAAAUGGAGCAACAUAAUGUGCUGGGCAGUGGGACGCGGUUUGCUUGUGUUAGUGUUUCCGAGAACACACACAUGCUGUAUUCUGGCAGUGUUCAGAGUUAAUCCCCACUCAGCCACGCUCCACGCUCACGCUGCAAGACGGCAAAUGUAACACAAAAACACGCUGGAAAAAGACAGGACGGUGUCUAUUAACACACGACUCUUUUAUCAAGAAUUCAUGGAUUAUUUCAGAUCUCUCUUUCUCCUUGAUUUGCUUCCAAACACUAUGUUUUUCAAGUGAUUUUACUACUGAUGCUGCAUUGUCUUAUGAUCCAUA
Cyprinus carpio carpio is the source of this 637-nucleotide long non-coding RNA. The record is from Ensembl. NCBI's taxonomy places the organism in Eukaryota, Metazoa, Chordata, Actinopteri, Cypriniformes, Cyprinidae.